CAUGCAAGUCGAACGAUGAACCACUUCGGUGGGGAUUAGUGGCGAACGGGUGAGUAACACGUGGGCAAUCUGCCCUGCACUCUGGGACAAGCCCUGGAAACGGGGUCUAAUACCGGAUAACACUCCUCCACUCCUGUGGGGGAGUUAAAAGCUCCGGCGGUGCAGGAUGAGCCCGCGGCCUAUCAGCUUGUUGGUGAGGUAAUGGCUCACCAAGGCGACGACGGGUAGCCGGCCUGAGAGGGCGACCGGCCACACUGGGACUGAGACACGGCCCAGACUCCUACGGGAGGCAGCAGUGGGGAAUAUUGCACAAUGGGCGAAAGCCUGAUGCAGCGACGCCGCGUGAGGGAUGACGGCCUUCGGGUUGUAAACCUCUUUCAGCAGGGAAGAAGCGAAAGUGACGGUACCUGCAGAAGAAGCGCCGGCUAACUACGUGCCAGCAGCCGCGGUAAUACGUAGGGCGCAAGCGUUGUCCGGAAUUAUUGGGCGUAAAGAGCUCGUAGGCGGCUUGUCACGUCGGGUGUGAAAGCCCGGGGCUUAACCCCGGGUCUGCAUUCGAUACGGGCUAGCUAGAGUGUGGUAGGGGAGAUCGGAAUUCCUGGUGUAGCGGUGAAAUGCGCAGAUAUCAGGAGGAACACCGGUGGCGAAGGCGGAUCUCUGGGCCAUUACUGACGCUGAGGAGCGAAAGCGUGGGGAGCGAACAGGAUUAGAUACCCUGGUAGUCCACGCCGUAAACGGUGGGAACUAGGUGUUGGCGACAUUCCACGUCGUCGGUGCCGCAGCUAACGCAUUAAGUUCCCCGCCUGGGGAGUACGGCCGCAAGGCUAAAACUCAAAGGAA
Molecule: ribosomal RNA, 840 nt
Filed under: Streptomyces sp.
Lineage: Bacteria; Bacillati; Actinomycetota; Actinomycetes; Kitasatosporales; Streptomycetaceae
Description: bacterial SSU rRNA
Rfam family: Bacterial small subunit ribosomal RNA
Source: RNAcentral